GUGUGUAUCAUACCAACACUAAUGUAUCAGAUCGCAUCAAAACUUUGUAAUUAAGUGUGUUUCGGUGAGAGCAGUAUUAGGCUAGUUGACCUCUUGGGAAAGUCCUCAUGUUACACCUU
Non-coding RNA from Lupinus angustifolius (narrow-leaved blue lupine), 119 nucleotides. The record is from Rfam. NCBI's taxonomy places the organism in Eukaryota, Viridiplantae, Streptophyta, Magnoliopsida, Fabales, Fabaceae.